UAGCACACGGCGGACGCUUCAG
RNAcentral lists this microRNA (22 nucleotides) under Petromyzon marinus (sea lamprey). RNAcentral's name for it is "pma-miR-4568". The record is from miRBase by way of RNAcentral. Lineage: Eukaryota; Metazoa; Chordata; Hyperoartia; Petromyzontiformes; Petromyzontidae.